AUUGAACGCUGGCGGCAGGCCUAACACAUGCAAGUCGAACGAGUGGCGGACGGGUGAGUAAUGUCUGGGAAACUGCCUGAUGGAGGGGGAUAACUACUGGAAACGGUAGCUAAUACCGAAUACAAUCGGAUGUGCCCAGAUGGGAUUAGCUAGUAGGUGGGGUAACGGCUCACAUAGGCAACGAUCCCUAGCUGGUCUGAGAUGAUGACCAGCCACACGGGAACUGAGACACGGUCCAGACUCCUACGGGAGGCAGCAGUGGGGAAUAUUGCACAAUGGGCGCAAGCCUGAUGCAGCCAUGCCGCGUGUAUGAAGAAGGCCUUCGGGUUGUAAAGUACUUUCAGCGUGGAGGCGUUACUCGCAGAAGAAGCACCGGCUAACUCCGUGCCAGCAGCCGCGGUAAUAC
This 406-nucleotide ribosomal RNA is filed under the name uncultured bacterium. Its description in RNAcentral is "partial 16S ribosomal RNA". It matches the Rfam family "Bacterial small subunit ribosomal RNA", at positions 30 to 526 of the family's 1533-position model. The record is from RNAcentral.